AUACUUACCUAGAAGAAGAGAUACCAUAAUCACAAAGGUCAUUUUCCCGGGGUGAGGCUUAUUCAUCACAUCCAGAACAUCUUGAUAUUCUGACCCCUACAGUUUCCCCCAAAUUCAGGAAACUCAACUGCAUACUUGGUGGUAGUGAGGAACUGUAUUCAUGCUCCCCUGUG
RNAcentral lists this small nuclear RNA (173 nucleotides) under Mus spicilegus (steppe mouse). RNAcentral's name for it is "U1 spliceosomal RNA (ENSMSIG00000031628.1)". It matches the Rfam family "U1 spliceosomal RNA". Rfam says of the family: U1 is a small nuclear RNA (snRNA) component of the spliceosome (involved in pre-mRNA splicing). Its 5' end forms complementary base pairs with the 5' splice junction, thus defining the 5' donor site of an intron. The record is from RNAcentral. Lineage: Eukaryota; Metazoa; Chordata; Mammalia; Rodentia; Muridae.